AGACUGGGGUAAAACACCACAAUGGGAGGACACUGGGGAAGGUGAGUCAGCCUUAGAGACCACAGAGGCUGCUGAAUGCCAGGAGGUGGGGAAGACAGGGCUCCAGCUACCACAGGACGGGCUCUGGGUAUAGCCGUUCCAGUCAGGGACAGCCGUGGAGAGACCAGGGACCAGGAAGCAGACAGUAUGAGCAUGACCAGUGGAGAAGGUACUAGUCAACCUCCAGAAAGAGUAUGGAGAGAAAAAGAGGCACACCUGGACGCAGAGCCCUGCCAGCGCCCUCCUCUGCUGUUGCAGCUGCAAGGAGACCAUGCCUGUGGGAGCCAGGCCUCGCUUGCAUGAAGAAGGAACGAUGCCUUUUUCAAUGGUGUCUCCCUCCCAUUGUGCAGAAGAGCUUUUGUUGGCUUCUCUCCCGAGCUUGUGCCUGAUUCUGUGGCCCAAAACAAUCAUUGUUAACAUCUUCAUGUGUUUCAUUCUGAUCUUUCAUUCAUAUAUAUGAUGCCUAGCUAAUUUCAUUUUAAAAUAAAUGGGAAUCUGUUGUA
This 542-nucleotide long non-coding RNA is filed under the name Homo sapiens (human). Its description in RNAcentral is "HSALNT0117362". The record is from RNAcentral. Lineage: Eukaryota; Metazoa; Chordata; Mammalia; Primates; Hominidae.